UCCUUUUUAAAAAAGUAAAAGAAACAUGUAAGUAACAUCUUUCUAUUUUGUUUUGAAAAUCGUUCUAAGAAAUCUCAUCUUUGCCUAUACUGUUUAUAGGGUUUAUGUAGGUUUAACCUAAGACAUUUUUAUAUGUUGAAAUGUUUAAAAAUACAUGAGUAUAAAGGUUGGAUAAAGUUAAAGGGACAGUUAUGAAUACCUCUGGGACGCCAGUUUUGUAAACCAUAUUCACUCAACCAUAGAAGAAUGUAAGUGACCAAAAGUGUCAUCUUUAUGAAGAGAAAGAUGAUGGGUAUGCUGUAACCUUUUAAGUGCUACAUAUAAAAACAAACAUCACAAGGGGCUUCGUGACGUCUUCAACAUUUAAGUUCUGGCACAUUCUCAAUCUGAUCCCACAAGAAUAAUUUAUAGAUGUUAAAAACAGUAUGCUAAGCAAAAGAAGGCAGACACAAAAGACCGCAUAUUACAUAAUUCCAUUCAUAUGAAAGUCCAGAAUAGGAAAAUCCAUAGAGAUAAAAACUAGAUUAGUAGUUACUCAAGGCUGAGAGAGAGGGGGAACAGGGGUGACAGCUGUUUCUUUUUGAGGUGAUAAAAAUGGCUGUGAUGCAUGUAUCUGUGAAUAUAGUGAAAACCACUGAAUUGUACACUUGAAAAGGUUGAAUAGUUUGGUAUGUGAAUUCUAUUUUAAUAAAGCUAUUUAUAAAAACAAUUUAUAGCCAUUUCAGAAAAUGUACUUGUUUAUAUUUUUGAUCAUACAAGUUACCUCUAUAGUAUCCGGGAGGAUGAAGUCCUCUGCUUGCUGUAGUGACACAUGGAAGCUAUGCUUUCCCUGGAGACUGUCAUUAUCUUUCUGUAACCUCACCAGCUCUUCUGAAACCUGUUCCCGUGACUGCAUCAGCACUGCCUAAAAUAGAAAUAGAUACUAAUCACAGCCAGAAAGGUAAAUCUGGUUUGGUGAUAGAUACACCAGAGAAAAACAAAGCCAAAGUAAAUAAGGGCUAAGGACAGAGGGGCAUUUAAUAAAGUUCUGCUAGACUUACAAAAAGCAGCUCACAGACUUUUUGAUUUGCAGCCUUUACACAUACUGGGGGGGGGGGGGCAGGUGAUGAAGCAAGUAUCUGAGGUCAUUCUCCACUGUUUCUACCAACAGGUUAAAAAUAAUGAAUCCCUUUCCUCCAUAUCCCUGUACUAUAGAAGGACCAGGAUCUCUAGCUCAAUGGAAGUGGCGGAUAUAAUCAAGACCCAUAUCAGAUAGACUAUGUACUCCCACACAACCGUUUCCUCAUGGCAAAUAUUCAACGGGAAAUAUGGAGAAACAAAAAGCAGUGUCUUCACCUUCCAUUACAUACACAUCUGGUCAAGCUCAGGAUCACUGAGAAUGGCCCAGCAGCCCCAAAUACUGGAAGUCAUCAAGAGGAUCCAUGCUCAGGAAACACAGAGCACCAAGAAGCUUGUUCUGACAAUGGGCCAUGUGCCUACUUCUUCUGCUUGCUGAUGUCUACUGCUCUGUGCCAGGCGUUUUGCUGCCCAUGGUAAAUGCAGAGAUAAAAGACAGGGAGACUUUGCCCUGGGGAAGCUGACGGUCCAGCAGAGGAAAAAAGACAGAAACCAACAGCUACCCUACAGUACUAUAAAGCGCUGUGACAGAGAGUUUGCUGUUGGUAGCAACAUUGAUGUCAUACUGAAACUACUCUGUCCCCACCUUAAGCAAGUCCUCAAAGGUAACAUCACCAAUAACGGAACCACCCAUCAUUAAUGUGAUACAUGAUGUUAUAAACCUCUCAUUGAAUCAUUUCAUUUAUGUAGUAUUCUGGCCAAAAUGUCUAACCUAAAUCAAAUUAUAAGGAAAUAAUCAGACAAAUGCACUCUACAAGACAAUUAGCCUAAAAAACAUUCUAUAAGGAAACUGGCCUGGACUCUUCAAAAAUGAUAAUGUCAUAAAAGCAAAAAAAAAAAAAAAAAGUGGGGGACUGUUCUAGAUUAAAGAAGACUAAAGUGACGUGAAAACAAGAUGGAAUAUGUGAUUCUUGACUGGUUUCUGUACCAAAAAAUAAGAAUACAAAAAUA
This is a long non-coding RNA of Lemur catta (Ring-tailed lemur), 2067 nucleotides long. RefSeq lists it as uncharacterized. The record is from RefSeq and is a predicted model, not a curated record. The transcript is spliced from 3 exons. Lineage: Eukaryota; Metazoa; Chordata; Mammalia; Primates; Lemuridae.